AUUGAACGCUGGCGGCAGGCCUAACACAUGCAAGUCGAAUGGUAACAGGAAACAGCUUGCUGUUUCGCUGACGAGUGGCGGACGGGUGAGUAAUGUCUGGGAAACUGCCUGAUGGAGGGGGAUAACUACUGGAAACGGUAGCUAAUACCGCAUAACGUCGCAAGACCAAAGAGGGGGACCUUCGGGCCUCUUGCCAUCAGAUGUGCCAGAUGGGAUUAGCUGGUAGGUGGGGUAACGGCUCACCUAGGCGACGAUCCCUAGCUGGUCUGAGAGGAUGACCAGCCACACUGGAACUGAGACACGGUCCAGACUCCUACGGGAGGCAGCAGUGGGAAUAUUGCACAAUGGGCGCAAGCCUGAUGCAGCCAUGCCGCGUGUAUGAAGAAGGCCUU
Molecule: ribosomal RNA, 392 nt
Filed under: uncultured bacterium
Lineage: Bacteria
Description: bacterial SSU rRNA
Rfam family: Bacterial small subunit ribosomal RNA
Source: RNAcentral